Non-coding RNA from Streptomyces sp. Tu6071, 99 nucleotides. The record is from Rfam. Lineage: Bacteria; Bacillati; Actinomycetota; Actinomycetes; Kitasatosporales; Streptomycetaceae.
UGACCCUGUGCGGGAGAGUGCCCCGGAGCUCGACACCGGGGACGCCGAAGGAGCAAAUCCUCCCCGGAAUCUCUCAGGCCCCUGUACCGCGCGGGUGAG